CCCUUAGAUGUCCUGGGCCGCACGCGCGUUACACUGAUGCAUUCAACGAGCUUAUAACCUUGGCCGAGAGGCCCGGGCAAUCUUGUUAACGUGCAUCGUGAUAGGGAUAGAUUAUUGAAAUUAUUAAUCUUGAACGAGGAAUUCCUAGUAAACGCAGAUCAUCAAUCUGCAUUGAUUACGUCCCUGCCCUUUGUACACACCGCCCGUCGCACCUACCGAUUGGAUGGUCCGGUGAAGCCUCGGGAUUGUGGUUCUUGCCGCUUUAUUGUGGCGUGACCGCGAGAACUUGUCUAAACCUUAUCAUUUAGAGGAAGGUGAAGUCGUAACA
This 328-nucleotide ribosomal RNA is filed under the name uncultured eukaryote. RNAcentral's name for it is "partial 18S ribosomal RNA". It matches the Rfam family "Eukaryotic small subunit ribosomal RNA", at positions 1470 to 1796 of the family's 1831-position model. The record is from RNAcentral.